AAGCAUUCUCUUGCAUUCCACCCGGGGAACAAGACAGCACCGGGUUUCACACUGGCAAGGCAGGAGGCUGUGUGCUGCCAGAACGACCAGCAGGGGGCGCAAAGGCCACGCCAGGCACCUGCUGGCCUCAGAGAAAACAGAAAGGGAACCAGGAAGCCCACUCCUGCUGUCCUUUCUCUGCAAGGAAAUGUGCCAGGGCACUGCAGCCCAGACAGUCGGCAGUAGAGGACCCAUGAAGUAUCUUUGUGCAAAGAAAGCAGCAAAGAGAAUUAAGAGAAUUGCAUCAUAUAAAGAGUGAAUUAAACCAUCUAAAGGAGCAAAAAUUCAUCAUCACAUGGACAAGAAAUUAAGACGUAACAUCCAUCUCACUAUUUGCAAAGUGGCUUAUUCCUACAGACAAUGCAGAUAUGUAAAAAGCUGGAAACCUAGGAGCAGAAGCCCAGCAUAAAGAUCUCUGAAAGCCUGGAUGCGUGGAUUCCUCUCUUACUUCCCAAAACGGUGGGGUGGAAAUGUGAAUAUCAGCAUGAUGCACAGAUCUCUGCAGAUGUCCAGCGAACUGAAUUUCUAGACGCUAUAAUCUAUGUUCUUUCCCAACCCCCACUUCAGUUUACAUAUCGCAGGCCAUAGAUCCUGUUUGUUGAAAAGCGAUCAGCUAGAAAACAAGAGUGGUUAUAACCUGUGCUGCCCAGUGAUCAGGAAAAGAGAGCGGAUGAAACUUCCAUGACUUUCUGUUAGUCUGAUUAAUAUCCAUGCCAAAUGUAAGAUUAGUUAAAAGGCCUUAUUGCUUCCCACCAAAAUGUUCCUUCACUAGCUAUAUACUACACUGAAAUGUAAAGUUAUGGGUAUGUUUAACAGUUUAAUUUGUCAGUGGGCAUCCAACUCUUCUAUUUGUGUUUUUACUUUGAGCUUAAUUGGAGCAGACAAAUAGAGGUGACCUCUAACUGUUUUCUUCCUGAAGCCAUUUUCAGGGCAGAAGUGCUUUACCCACUUCAUUGAGAAACCACCUUUGCAUGCAGUACCCUGAGCUGUCUUCAGCACACCAAGCAUCCACAACAUGGGAAAUACCGUGCUUUAAAUGUUGCUUUAAUCACAGUGCUCAUGAGUAAGGGCAUGUCCUGUCUCUUAUCCAUGAAAACACUCCCACAAAAUGAAGUCACACCCAGUAUCUGUUAACGGAGAUACUGAGUGGGUGAAGAAGACUCAUUCCCUAAUGCAAUUCAGGUCACACAGGGUAAAAAAGAAAAAAAAAUCCUUUUCUGUUGAGGAUACAGAUGGAGAGAAAAUGGAAAAUGCCUUUCAGGAAGCACAAGCCUAGUUUUCUAAUUGUGUUUCAGUGAACACGCAGGUGAACUUACCUGUGUGGCUUGGUAUUGUGGUGGGUUUUCAGCUUCUUCUCCACCAAAUCCUUUGAAAAGCAGCAGUGGCAGAAACAAAUAACCCAAUUAAAAACAAUAAUAGCAACAAUAAAAAAAGAAAAGAUGAAGAAAGCAGUGGUUUUCUUUGGCUAGCUGAGGAACUUUCUACUAGGCGUUAGCAAUCUCUUUGUAAACUUUUUUCUUUACAGCAAAUGCUUCAUUCUCUAGACACAUGUCAAGAAUUUUCAAGCAUCGCCAGACUCAAUUCUUCACCCCCAUGUUAACAAUUAAAGAAUCAGCCGAAUGCCUGUGUUUAAGAA
Molecule: long non-coding RNA, 1675 nt
Organism: Homo sapiens (human)
Lineage: Eukaryota; Metazoa; Chordata; Mammalia; Primates; Hominidae
Product: long intergenic non-protein coding RNA 2372
Source: Ensembl